Molecule: ribosomal RNA, 496 nt
Filed under: uncultured bacterium
Lineage: Bacteria
Description: bacterial SSU rRNA
Rfam family: Bacterial small subunit ribosomal RNA
Source: RNAcentral
ACUCAAAGGAAUAGACGGGGGCCCGCACAAGCGGAGGAACAUGUGGUUUAAUUCGAUGAUACGCGAGGAACCUUACCCGGGCUCGAACGGCUGUUGAAUAUUUAUGAAAGUAUAUAGUCGCAAGACAACAGUCGAGGUGCUGCAUGGUUGUCGUCAGCUCGUGCCGUGAGGUGUCGGCUUAAGUGCCAUAACGAGCGCAACCCUUACCGUUAGUUACCAUCAGGCAAAGCUGGGGACUCUGGCGGGACUGCCACCGUAAGGUGCGAGGAAGGCGGGGAUGACGUCAAAUCAGCACGGCCCUUACGUUCGGGGCUACACACGUGUUACAAUGGGGGGGACAAAAGGCAGCUACCCGGCGACGGGAUGCGAAUCUCCAAACCCUCUCCCGGUUCGGAUCGGAGUCUGCAACCCGACUCCGUGAAGCCGGAUUCGCUAGUAAUCGCACAUCAGCCAUGGUGCGGUGAAUACGUUCCCGGGCCUUGCACACACCGCCCGU